UACGUAGGGGGCUAGCGUUGUCCGGAUUUAUUGGGCGUAAAGAGCGCGUAGGCGGCCGAGUAAGUCCGACGUGAAAUCUGGAGGCUCAACCUCCAGCGGUCGUUGGAAACUACUCGGCUAGAGUCCGGAAGAGGAGAGUGGAAUUCCUGGUGUAGCGGUGAAAUGCGCAGAUAUCAGGAAGAACACCGAUGGCGAAAGCAGCUCUCUGGGACGGUACUGACGCUGAGGAGCGAAAGCGUGGGGAGCGAACAGG
RNAcentral lists this ribosomal RNA (253 nucleotides) under uncultured bacterium. RNAcentral describes it as "partial 16S ribosomal RNA". It matches the Rfam family "Bacterial small subunit ribosomal RNA", at positions 524 to 776 of the family's 1533-position model. The record is from RNAcentral.